Caenorhabditis elegans is the source of this 147-nucleotide non-coding RNA. The record is from Ensembl. Lineage: Eukaryota; Metazoa; Nematoda; Chromadorea; Rhabditida; Rhabditidae.
UUUUCUGCAGAGCGUCACUCAGGAUUGCUUGCACAUGAUCGACAUGCUCGCAUGCCAAGUCAUUUACAAGUUCAACGACGCUCUCUGGUUCCAGUUCAUUUGCAUGUCCGGCGUUUGGCUCACAAUUCAUGUUUUUGACGGGUUUGU